RNAcentral lists this ribosomal RNA (247 nucleotides) under Cercomonas sp. RNAcentral's name for it is "partial large subunit ribosomal RNA". It matches the Rfam family "Eukaryotic large subunit ribosomal RNA", at positions 104 to 344 of the family's 3401-position model. The record is from RNAcentral. Lineage: Eukaryota; Cercozoa; Cercomonadida; Cercomonadidae.
AGAGCUCAAAGUUAAAAUCGGGGUUCUGAGAGGAGCUUCCGAAUUGUAAUCUAGAGACACUUUUUCAGCUUCGACCCGGGUAUAAAUCUUUUGAAACGAGGUGUCAUAGAGGGUGAGAAUCCCGUCUUUGAUCCGGAGUUCGGGGCGUACGAAGGGUGUUCCAAGAGUCGAAUAGCUUGGGAAUGCUGUUCUAAAUGGGUGGUAAAUUUCAUCUAAAGCUAAAUAUCGACGAGAGACCGAUAGCGAA